RNAcentral lists this ribosomal RNA (126 nucleotides) under Cereibacter changlensis. RNAcentral describes it as "partial 16S ribosomal RNA". It matches the Rfam family "Bacterial small subunit ribosomal RNA", at positions 1 to 136 of the family's 1533-position model. Lineage: Bacteria; Pseudomonadati; Pseudomonadota; Alphaproteobacteria; Rhodobacterales; Paracoccaceae. The record is from RNAcentral.
UUCAACUUGAGAGUUUGAUCCUGGCUCAGAAUGAACGCUGGCGGCAGGCCUAACACAUGCAAGUCGAACGGGACCUUCGGGUCUAGUGGCGGACGGGUGAGUAACGCGUGGGAACAUGCCCAAAGG